RNAcentral lists this unclassified non-coding RNA (302 nucleotides) under uncultured Sordariomycetes. RNAcentral describes it as "sequence contains ITS1". The stretch from base 1 to 105 matches the Rfam family "5.8S ribosomal RNA", at positions 50 to 154 of the family's 154-position model. Lineage: Eukaryota; Fungi; Ascomycota; Sordariomycetes. The record is from RNAcentral.
GAAAUGCGAUAAGUAAUGUGAAUUGCAGAAUUCAGUGAAUCAUCGAAUCUUUGAACGCACCUUGCGCCCGCCCGCACUCUGGCGGGCAUGCCUGUUCGAGCGUCAUUUCAACCAUCAAGCCCCCGGGCUUGCGUUGGGGACCUGCGGCUGCCCGCAGGCCCUGAAAACCAGUGGCGGGCUCGCUGUCACCCCGGUCGUAGUAGUAUCAUCUCGUCCAGGGCGUGGCUGCGGGCUCCGGCUGUUAAACCUUCCCAAACCCAAAGGUUGACCUCGAAUCACGUUGGACUCCCCCCUGAACUUAA